UACGUAGGGCGCAAGCGUUGUCCGGAAUUAUUGGGCGUAAAGAGCUCGUAGGCGGCUUGUCACGUCGGGUGUGAAAGCCCGGGGCUUAACCCCGGGUCUGCAUUCGAUACGGGCAGGCUAGAGUUCGGUAGGGGAGAUCGGAAUUCCUGGUGUAGCGGUGAAAUGCGCAGAUAUCAGGAGGAACACCGGUGACGAAGGCGGAUCUCUGGGCCGAUACUGACGCUGAGGAGCGAAAGCGUGGGGAGCGAACAGG
Molecule: ribosomal RNA, 253 nt
Filed under: uncultured bacterium
Lineage: Bacteria
Description: partial 16S ribosomal RNA
Rfam family: Bacterial small subunit ribosomal RNA
Source: RNAcentral